RNAcentral lists this ribosomal RNA (409 nucleotides) under Brucella melitensis. RNAcentral's name for it is "partial 16S ribosomal RNA". It matches the Rfam family "Bacterial small subunit ribosomal RNA", at positions 355 to 776 of the family's 1533-position model. RNAcentral also lists the same sequence under 1 other name. The record is from RNAcentral. Lineage: Bacteria; Pseudomonadati; Pseudomonadota; Alphaproteobacteria; Hyphomicrobiales; Brucellaceae.
UGGGGAAUAUUGCACAAUGGGCGAAAGCCUGAUGCAGCGACGCCGCGUGAGGGAUGACGGCCUUCGGGUUGUAAACCUCUUUCAGCAGGGACGAAGCGCAAGUGACGGUACCUGCAGAAGAAGCACCGGCUAACUACGUGCCAGCAGCCGCGGUAAUACGUAGGGUGCAAGCGUUGUCCGGAAUUACUGGGCGUAAAGAGUUCGUAGGCGGUUUGUCGCGUCGUUUGUGAAAACCAGCAGCUCAACUGCUGGCUUGCAGGCGAUACGGGCAGACUUGAGUACUGCAGGGGAGACUGGAAUUCCUGGUGUAGCGGUGAAAUGCGCAGAUAUCAGGAGGAACACCGGUGGCGAAGGCAGGUCUCUGGGCAGUAACUGACGCUGAGGAACGAAAGCGUGGGUAGCGAACAGG